Non-coding RNA from Pelobates cultripes (western spadefoot toad), 231 nucleotides. The record is from the annotation of a GenBank genome assembly. Lineage: Eukaryota; Metazoa; Chordata; Amphibia; Anura; Pelobatidae.
AAUGGUUGGCUGUGGUAACAAAUUUGCAAGAAUGUUGACACAUGCUAAAGAGAGGAAAAGGGGGCAGAGUUUCUCCAUAGCAGCAACGUAAUCGAAACUGGGAAUUGUCUUUAAAAUACAUGGGUCUCUCUUUCUGCAUUUCCCAAUUACUCAACUUAUUAAAAUGACAUCAUAAUUUCUAACCCGCUUCUUACACACCAAUCUAAUUCUGUUCCGCACCUGCAGGAAAAC